Molecule: RNA transcript, 736 nt
Organism: Centruroides sculpturatus (bark scorpion)
Lineage: Eukaryota; Metazoa; Arthropoda; Arachnida; Scorpiones; Buthidae
Gene name: P-selectin-like
Exons: 6
Source: RefSeq, a predicted model, not a curated record
AUUCCAUAUGACUCUUAAAAUGUUCUAAUAUCAUUUGAAAUAUUUUCAAUGGAUAUAUUCUAUUUUUUCAUACCAGUUACUUUAUUAUUGAUAACUUGCAAUUUAAGCAGAUGCGAAAAAUAUUUUCAAAGAUGUCUAGACAUGAAAUCUGCUCCGUUAGACCAUACUUAUAAGAAUAAUACUUAUUAUACGAUGAAUAAUGUUGAAAGAGAACAUUUGACUAUGAAAAGUAUUCUUCAGUGGGGUGUCUGUAUGGGAUGGGGAAAUUGGAAAAUUGAUAAAAAAUUUGGUUGCUCUAGUCCUGAAUUAUCAGAAAACACUAUAUUAGAAUAUCCAUGUCAAUGUAACUUUGGUGGUAUGUGCAAAGCUAAGUGUAAACAAAAUUUACAUAUUGAAGAAUAUAUCUAUUGUAAUAACGAUGGUACUUGGACCAAAAUUCUCAGAUGCCCAAUAUCGUGUCUUCUGCCGAUUUUACCUCCAAACUUAGUCUUGAUUCAAGCAUGUAGUGCAGGAGUAGGUGAGACAUGUAGGAUAAAAUGUGCUAAAGAUUUUGUUCUAAUUGGAAAUGACACAAUUCAAUGUCUGAAAACUGGAAAAUGGAGUAAAAUUCCAAAAUGUGUGCCAUUGCUUCGACUUUCUACGGUGUUACCUCCAAAUUAAUCUGACUGUUAGAAAUUCUAAUUGCAAUUUAAGAAAUUUCAUUAAAGAAAAAUUUAUAAGUAACCUGGAAGUAUUU